The sequence is a ribosomal RNA, 95 nucleotides long. It matches the Rfam family "Bacterial small subunit ribosomal RNA", at positions 1 to 91 of the family's 1533-position model.
AUUAUUGAGAGUUUGAUCCUGGCUCAGGACGAACGCUGGCGGCGUGCCUAAUACAUGCAAGUCGAACGCUUUUUCUUUCACCGGAGCUUGCUCCA